ACGGUCAAAUCACGUUGAAAACACCGGUUUUUCGUUCGAUCACCGAAGUUAAGCAUCGUAGAGCCAGGUCAGUACCUUAGAUGGGGGACCGCUUGGAAACACCUGGUACUGUAAG
Molecule: ribosomal RNA, 115 nt
Filed under: Acanthosepion pharaonis
Lineage: Eukaryota; Metazoa; Mollusca; Cephalopoda; Sepiida; Sepiidae
Source: RNAcentral